Molecule: ribosomal RNA, 408 nt
Filed under: Triticum aestivum (bread wheat)
Lineage: Eukaryota; Viridiplantae; Streptophyta; Magnoliopsida; Poales; Poaceae
Description: partial small subunit ribosomal RNA
Source: RNAcentral
AUGGGUGGAUGUUGUUUGGCAAAUGAAAUAAUCACUCCUGUUCUGCUGUCAUCGAGGAGCUCACCCACCAUGUGCCAUGCCGAGCUUUUCAGAGAGGCAGCAGCAGGUGGGUCUGCGCCUCAAAAAUGCUGGGGUUCUCAUCAAUCUUGUGAUCAUCGCUCAAAACAAAAGGCCAUGCUAGUAUUUAUCGGCGAGCUCGUACUACUGUGCUCGCAGCAGCACUAUUCCCGAUCAUGUCAGCAGGAACUGAUAGUGUGGUGCGUUCUGGCAUUGGUUCAUGCACGAGAUGCUCCCAGUCUCUCUGAUGACCAGGGAAAUCUCACCGGUGAGGCAGUGACCAACUGUGGACUAAUAAAUCAAGGGCCCACCACUCUUUUGGAGAGCUUUAGAGCUUGUCACCAUCCUUAA